RNAcentral lists this non-coding RNA (147 nucleotides) under Candidatus Zhuqueibacterota. The record is from RNAcentral. Lineage: Bacteria; Pseudomonadati.
AGGGAAGGUGGUGUAUCCCCGAAGAGUCGGGGAGAGUCCACUGCUGCCCCGCAACUGUGAGCGGCGAUGAAAUCCGCAGCAGCCACUGUCCCGCGGAGCGGGAUGGGAAGGCGCGGAGAGUAAGAAGACCCGCAAGCCAGGAGACCU